Molecule: non-coding RNA, 89 nt
Filed under: Variovorax sp. Sphag1AA
Lineage: Bacteria; Pseudomonadati; Pseudomonadota; Betaproteobacteria; Burkholderiales; Comamonadaceae
Source: RNAcentral
CUUUUAGGCGGCUCGAACGGGAGGGCUCACGCCCUGCCGGUUCUCGCAAGGGGUGCCCGGUCUUCCAACCUGUUCGAGUCGCCGCCACC